AAAAAAACAAACCCUGGGUUUCCGUAUCAAACUUUGACUGUCCGUCUUAUAUGAAUUUUUUUUAUAAUUCGUAUUUUUAUUGUUGUUAGAUGAUAAAACAUGAUUAAUAUUUUAUACGUGACUUGUCUUUUUAUUUUUUUUUAUAAUUUUUUUAAAUAAGACGGACGGUCAAACGUUAGACACGGAAACCAGAGUUUGUCUUUUUU
Oryza sativa Japonica Group (Japanese rice) is the source of this 206-nucleotide microRNA precursor. It matches the Rfam family "MIR812 microRNA precursor family". NCBI's taxonomy places the organism in Eukaryota, Viridiplantae, Streptophyta, Magnoliopsida, Poales, Poaceae. The record is from Rfam.